UGAUGUCAGUAUGGUUAUAGUCCCCCAGCUUCUCAACUUCCAAUCCAGCUCCCUGUUAGCAUGCCUGAAAAGACAGCAGAUGAUAGCCCAAGGAUGAAAUCCCAUUAGUCAUUUCCUCCAGGGGAUUGCGAAGAUCAUUACAAGGAACUUGAAUCAUCCUGAAAUAGAGAACUAUGACAGAUAACACUGGCACAAGCCUUUCAGAUCUUCAGGGAUAUCUGUAUAUCAUAACUGACAACUAGGAAAAUGGAAAAACUCUUCAAGAUCCAAAAUAUGGAAUUUCCAGAGGAAUUUCAGGAUCUGUCACUGGUGGCAGUCAGAAUAAACUGGAUAUGCCAAGGACUCACACUGUGUGCCUUGGUGGAAUGGUAAGGGAUCCCCGUAAGAACAAAAGUGCCGCUGCUUGACUUCAACUUGGGAAUGGACAUCAGUGCUGUGUUCUAAUGAAUACAGUUAUUUGCAUAUAUACCUAUAUAGGUGAGGAAUACAAAAGAAAUGGAGUGUGACAAAGUCUACCUGAGUUACAUGUGGCAUUUUAAAUUGGAAAAUGUUCUUCAGAAAUCUUGUAGUUACGGUAUGUUUUUUUACCUCAAGUACUUCCUGGUAUCCUUUCCAUAAUUUUUGGUCAUGUAAAAUGUAUAUUUUGAACAAACUAUUCAUAAAUGUCAAGUUUUUAC
Oryctolagus cuniculus (rabbit) is the source of this 677-nucleotide non-coding RNA. The record is from RefSeq and is a predicted model, not a curated record. NCBI's taxonomy places the organism in Eukaryota, Metazoa, Chordata, Mammalia, Lagomorpha, Leporidae.